CAGCUUCUUCCGCUUACCAGGUACUUAUUUUGCGUCCCACUGAUAAUUUAAUAUCAGAUUUAUUUAGUGUAUCGUCAUUACGAAAUGUUUAUUUUAUAUAUA
This 102-nucleotide unclassified non-coding RNA is filed under the name Arabidopsis thaliana (thale cress). RNAcentral's name for it is "partial miscellaneous RNA". The record is from RNAcentral. Lineage: Eukaryota; Viridiplantae; Streptophyta; Magnoliopsida; Brassicales; Brassicaceae.